This 38144-nucleotide long non-coding RNA is filed under the name Gossypium barbadense (sea-island cotton). RNAcentral describes it as "long non-coding RNA (GBAR_LNC017683)". The record is from RNAcentral. Lineage: Eukaryota; Viridiplantae; Streptophyta; Magnoliopsida; Malvales; Malvaceae.
GUGGAUAUGGAAGAAGGCUUGGGACUUGCCUUACCUAAGUUGAAUCCUCUUGAAGUUGUAUUAUCGCCACGCCUUGGAACUGAGUUUUACGAAUGCCUUUAAGAUGGUGAAAAAUAUAUACUAGAAAUUUAGCGUUUUAUAUUUUGAUUAAAUAAUUAUUGGAUGUGAUAAUGGCAUGGUGAUACAGCUUUUAGUUGAGCAUUAAAUAAGUUUACUGAAUGCACUUGGGAAUAAAUGUAAGCACAUUAUUAAAUUUUAAAGUCGAUAUUAGUAAAAAGAUUUUAUUUGAAUAUCAUGUUUAAUUGGAAUAAAAUUAGACCCGAAAUCUAUAACAAAUUACAACACUUAUGCUUAUAGCCGAGAUAUUCUCAUGAACUACCUGGUUGAAGAAAAGUGUGUUUGACAUUGCCAAGUAAAAUUAUUGUAAGGGAUUGAAAUGUUAAAAAAAAAUGUUUAAAAUAAUAAAAGUCUAGUUAUGUAUAUGGUGUUAUAUAUGUGCAAGAUUGAGAGUACUUAUAUUGUUUAUUAUAAUUGUCGAAACCAUUUUUUUGAAAACAAAAAUUUAGGUUAUCGACUUAAAAAAAUAAAAAUUGGAGUCGCCACCGAUCCUUGAUUGAGGUGUGAUCGGCUCACCUUAAAAAUGAUUUUGGUCUGCGAAAUUUGAGAAAACAGGUUCGGGGGUCAGUUACGCACGAGGAAGGGUUAGCACCCCCGUAACGCCUAAAAAUCGGUACCAAAUUGAUUAUUUAAUGUCUUAGUGUCGAUGGUUAAAAAGAUUUUUAAAAAAAACUCAAAUGAUGAAAUCUGAAAAUGAUAAUCAAUUGUUCAAGUUAGAUAAAGAAAUUGAGACCCAAUACGUUAGGGUACAAUUUCUCAAAACCUCCUCCCCCCGAACUUUGAAUAUCGCUCUUUUGUUUUUAAAGAAAAUCUUCAUUUCGAGAAGGCAAUAUGUCAUGCCUAAUACGUCAGGACAUCACAAAUUAAGUUCCCGAAAAUGAUUUUUACUUAUACAUUUUGAAUAACGAAUAUUCUCGGUUAUUUGGAAUUAACAAAGAAAAUCGGAACCCAAUACGUUAGGGCUCAAUUUCCUCACUACACCAGAAUAGGCUUUUAGCGGCACUUUUUGCGGCGUUUGGAACAAAAGCGCCACAAAAAAUCGAGCAUUAGCGGCGAUUUAUCCAAAGCGCCGCUAAAGAUAGAGCUUCAGCGGCGAUUAUCUGGAAGCGCCGCUAAAAAUAGGAAUUAGCGGCGUUUUACAUAAAGCGCCACAAAAAACCUAAGACCAACGGCGUCGUUUUUGCGAUUUUUUUAAACCUUUAGCGGCGUUUUUGUGUAAGCACUGCUAAUGCUCGGAUCUUUAGCGGCGUUUUUGUCUAGGUGCCGCUAAUGCUCGAGUCUUUAGCGGCGUUUUCAUGUAGGCGCCGCUAAUGCUCGGAUCUUUAGCGGCGUUUUUGUCUAUGCGCCGCUAAUGCUCGGAUCUUUAGCGGCGUUUUUAUACAAGCGCCGCUAAUACUCGGAUCUUUAGCGGCAUUUUUAACUGAGCGCCACUAAUUCUCUUGUCUUCAGCGGCGUUUUUACCGAAGCGCCGCUAAUAGUAACAAAAAUCUUAUAAGUUGAAAUAAUUAAUAUUUUGUUCUAUUUAUUAUAUAGUGGGACAAUUUACAUUUAAAUUAUAAUUAACAAAUAAUAUUGAUUAAUAUAAAAAGUUUUUAUUAAAGAGAAGUCGUAUAUAUAUAACAGCGAACUAUUUAUAACAGUUGAUUUAAAUUACUACUUUAUGAAAGAAAAUAUAUUAAAUUAUGAAUAAAAUAAAAUAUAAUAAAACUUAAAUUUUUGUAUUAAUGUAAAGAAUAAAUUAAAAAUAGAAUUAACUUUUUAUAAGAGUAAUAAAUUUUGGUAGUAUAUAUUGUUCGACUAAUUUAUACAAAAUAUAUAUAUUUUAACAAUUAAUUAUUGACUAUAUUUUAUGAUUAAUAUAUAUAUUAAACAUUUAGGGAAUUUUUUUAUGGACGGUAUUUUAAGGAGGACGGGGUAUAGAUUUAAGGUAAUUGAGAUUUAAGGUUAAUUUAGGGGUUAGAGGUUUAAGGGUUUGAGAUUUAGGGUUAAUUUCAACAGUCAUGCAUGUUAAUUAGGGUUUAAUUAAUUAGAUUUGUUUAUUAUUUUUUAUGGUGAAUAUAUACAUUCUUAUAUGUAAAAUAGAUAUUCCAGAAUAAAUUUAAUAUAUUGAAUAUUAUAAUAGGUAGAUCAUGAUCACUUUAUGCAUGUCGAUUGAUAAUUUAUAAUUUGAGACUUGUAAAAUGAUAAUUAUCUUGUAUAUUUAAAAACAUUAAUUAACCGGCCCUAAUAACCAUUUGAUUUUUUUGAUAUAUAUAUGCAUGGCUAUAUAUAUGGUUAAUUAGUAGCAAUAUACCAGAUGCAAAAAUAUCGAUACUUAAGUUCAAAAAUGAUAAAAACUUAUAUUUAGAUCCAUACGGAAAUUUUUGUCAUAAAGAUAAUAUUGCUAGCAUAUUUCAACUAAUUUGUACACAACAUUUUAAACUACUAUAUAUAUAUAAUUAACUUGCAUGUUUAAUAGAUUUUCACUAUAUUUUGUGAUUAUUAAUAUAAAUUUAGGGAAUUUUUUGGGUUUGGUCGGGGUCAUGAUAGGGUUUCUUAAGAGGUUAAUAUUAGAUUGAUUAAUUUUUACGGUAAAUAUAUAUAUUUGUAAAAUAAAUCCAGAUGAUCAAUAAAUUUAAUUAAUAUAUAUUAAUGAAGUUUAGUAUAGUUUAUAUUAUAAUUAUUAAUACAUAUAAUAGGUGCGUGGUAGUUAGAUGAUCAUUUUAUGGAUGCAUGUUAAUUUAUAAUUUGAAGAUUGUUAAAUGAUACAAUUAACUAAUAAUAUAUAGUAACGUUGUAUAUUUAAAAACGUUUAACCGAAAUAUUGAACGGCCAUUUGAUAUUUUUGAUAUAUAUGGAUAUAUAUAUAUAUAGUUAUUAACUAUUUAAUUUGUAUAUAUAGGACCAAAAUAAUCUUGGUAUAAAUAAAUAAACAAAUAAAUAAGUAGGUAAUUAUGUAUUUUUUAAAUAAAUAGGUAAUUAAUUAUUUAAAUGUAAGAUCCACAAAAAAAGAGAGAGAAAUUUAGCGGCGUUUCUAUAGAAAAACGCCGCAAAAGGUAGCCUUUACCGGCGUUGUAGUAAAAAACGCCACAAAUAUUGCAAUAUACGACGUCGUUACGUGUUAGGGAAUCAGUUUCUAUUGUGGCGUUUUAUAGGUAAGCGCCGCUAAUAUUCUUGAUACUCUAUCAGAACGGCGUCGUUUCAGUUGAAUGAUGUACUCUAUUACUGGCGUUUUUCGGGAAAACGCCGCAAAUAUGUCUACAAUUUUGUGAAAACAUCACCGUUUGUUUGUGUAAUUGAAAAUUUGAUGUUUAGGGGUUAGGGGGAUUUAGGGUUUAAGGGUUAUGCUUUAGGGGUUAGGGGAUUUAGGGGUAAGGGGUUAGGAUGGAUUUGGGGUUUAGGGUUUCAACGGUUAUGUUAGAGUUUAAGUUAUUAGAUUAAUUAGUUUUAUUAAUUUUUAUAUCAAAUAUGUUCUUAUAUAUUUUUAAAAUAUAUAAUAAUAAAUUUAAUAUAUUGAAAUUAUGAGUGUAUAGUUUAAAUUUAUUUAUUUAUCAAUAAAUUAAAUAUUAUAAAUUUCAAACUUUAUACAAAAAAAUAAAUAUUAUAAAUGUAAUAUUACAAAUUAAAAGUUUUUACUAUUAAUUAUUGUUUAAUCAAUUAUAACUAUUUUAUGAUUAUUAAAGAUUUAGGGAUUAUUUUGGAUGGCCGUGUUAUUUUAAGGAUUAGGGGGUAUAUAUGAAUUUAAGGUUUAGGAUAUAAGGGUUAGGGGUUUAGGGGUUAUGAGUUACGGGCUAAGGGAUAGUGGUUUAGAAUUUAGGGUUUAGGGUUUCAGGGGUCGGAUAAAGGUUUUAGGUUAGUUUAGAUUAAUUUCUUUAAAUAAUGUUUUAAAAAAUCAAUUUAAAGUACCAAUUGAUAUCAAUUAUAUUAAUGUUUUUGUCAUUUAAAUAUUAUUUUAAAUAGAAUUAAGUUUAAUAAGUUAAAAAAUAGUUUGAAAUAUGCAUUAAAGCUUUAUUAAACGGCGCCAUUUCAGAUUCUAAAUUCAAUUUUUAGUGGCGUUUUUUUGGAAACGCCGCAAAUAUACAAGAAAUAGUGGCGUUUUCCUAACAAACGCCGGAAUGGUGUCUUAAAAUUUUGGCAAAACGACGCCGUUUCUUUCAUCGUGUUUUAACUUAUCAUUUUCUCUAUAAGGCAGAACACAAUAAACACAGAAACAAACAGCCUUCAGACAAAACGGAAGCGAUAGAAAUGAAAGAGAAAAAACAAAGGAAAAAAGGGAGAGGAGAACUCAUAAAUCGGGUGAAACGAAGCAACAACUGAGCCAAUCUUGACAGGAUACUAUCAAAGUUGCGGAAUUUUUGGGGAAAAGGUAAGCUUUUUUUCUUUUAAAAUGAUGUAUCUUGAUUUAGGGUUUGGGUUAAGUGUAAUUUGGUAAAUUGGGGUUUAAAUAAUAAAUUCAAUCACCAAGCUCUGGCCUGUUUGUUUGGGAAUUCGGGGAAUUUGGGAAUUUUUUCGUGUCUAGGGUUUGGGAAGAAGUACCGAUCCUGUGUUUGCUUUCUAGUUUGUUCUUCUCAUUGUUGAAGAGUUAACAUUAACAGUUAACAUUCAGGAGGGACAUAGGCUUCUAAUUUUGUAAGAUGCCAUAAUAAAUUGUGGUUGGGGUAUUCUUUUGCAAAUAAUUUGUUAUAUUUUGUUAACAUGUUGGUAAAUCGAUUAUGUGUAUUGAAGAAGCAAAUCUGUCUUAAAAAAUGUGCUCAUUAUGUAUGUAUAUAUUUACGAAUGAUGGUGACUUGCUCUAAUUUGUUUGAAAUCGAAAUUCAUUUUGAAUUGCGCUUUCUUGAUGCACCAGUAAACUUCGCUGUCAACCGAUAAUUGCUUGGUAUUCUAAGGUUAAUCUUUGGGCACUUAAUUUGGUUAAUUGGCAUUUUAACGCUGACAAGUUAAACUUUAGGUUUGGUUUAUGAGAGAUUGGGUUUGGGGAUUAGGCCUCUUUUGGCGAAAAUAAAAUUACAUAACUCACAUGUUAAAGUUGUAGCUAUUAUUCUUAUGCAUCGUUGGAACAUAUAUUGAGAUUAUCUGGUUGCAAUAUUUUGCAGUGACUACCUAUUCCAGCUUCUGCUUAUUGGAGAUUCUGGUGUUGGAAAAUCUUGUCUUCUUUUGAGAUUUGCUGUAAGUUUCUUGACUUACGUUUCCAUUUGAAAGCAACUGUCUACAUUGUAGACAUCUAUUUUCGUUAUCAUACAUUCUUAGUUUCUUAUAUGAUUGCCCCGAAUGUUUAUAUCCAUGUAUGAUGCUAGAUUGUAAUAAUAUUUCAUUAAAAAAUUGCACUGCAUAUAACGUGUCUUGAGAGAGUGAAAUGUGCACUUCACGAGUUUGGACAUAGGCAGUUGGGGCCUCUGAAUCUUGUCACUAUAUUUAGUUGUAUAUGAAGAUAUCAAACAUGUGGAAUUUUGGAUAUUUCCAGAUGGUUAUGCAGGACAAAAAGUUUGGCCUACACUUCUAUGAAUUUGAAGAAUUUGUGUAUUUUUGUGUUUCAAAACAUUCAUUUUCUUGGAUAGCAAGAUUAUCAUUCAUGUACUGCAAAGAACAAGUUUUAAAGGUCAUUUUUUAUUGGAGUAUUAUUUUUUACUCAUGUUUUUAGUAUAUGGGUUAACAAUAAACUAAUUCAAUUGGUAAUAUUUAGCCACUUUUAUGAUUUAUUUUUAGCAAAAGAGGGGAAUUUUUCGCUUAUUUUGAACAAGCCUCAUUUUUUACAAGAGUUAUUACUCAUCAAGUUUAAAUUUGUACUAACUAUUUUAUUUUAUUUUAUGUCUAACCAUUGUAAUACAUAUAUAAUAAAUAAGUUUUUUCCUCAUAUUAUUACUCUAGUAGCCAAACGAGGCAUUAUUGUGUAAUGAUAGCAAAAAAAAGUACCAAACUUGAAAAUGUUAAUAAUGACGACCAAAAUUUUAGAAGUUUUAAUAACAAUAAUAAUAUAAAGGAGAACACAUAUUCUUGAAAGUUUUAACAACAAUAAAAAAAAGUAAUAAAUUUAUAAGAUAUUGACAUUGAUUUAUUUUUAUUUAGUUAUAGAAUAUUUAAAAGCAUAAUACAAGUUUUAUUAAAAAUUUAAAAGCAAUGGGUUUUUUUUUAGGUUUUAAAUGGGUUUAUAUAUUAAAAAAAUUAAGUUUUUUUUUAAAAUUUUUCAAUCUGCAGUACCUUAUCACUGAUAAUUUGCAUGGUAUUUAUUGCUCUACAUGAUGUUGCUGUCAAUCUCUACAUGCAUAUGGGCACCAAUUCGAGCAGUAAUACCCAUCUCUAAUUACAUAACUUAGUUAAUUAAUAUUAUACAUAACUGACAACUUACAUAACUUAUAACUUACAACUUACAUAACUUACAUUUUUUUAAUUAUUCAUAAAUUACAUAACAUACAUUAAUAUUAUACAUAAAUUACAUAACUUAGUUAAUUAAUAUUAUACAUAAAUUACAUAACUUAAUUUUAUGUUCUUAUACAUAACUUACAUUAAUAUUAUACAUAAAUUACAUAACUUAAUUAAUUAAUUAAUUAAUAUUAUACAUAAAUUACAUAACUUAAUUUUAUGUUAUUAUACAUAACUUACAUUAAUAUUAUACAUAAAUUACAUAACUUAAUUAAUUAAUAUACAUAAGUUACAUAACUUACAUUAAUAUGAUACAUAAAUUACAUAACUUAGUUAAUUAAUAUUAUACAUAUGUUACAUAACUUACAUUAAUAUGAUACAUAAAUUACAUAAGUUAGUUAAUUAAUAUUAUACAUAACUUACAACUUACAUAACUUACAACUUACAACUUACAUAACUUACAUAACUUACAUUUUUUUAAUUAUUCAUAAAUUACAUAACUUAAUUAGUUAAUAUACAUAAAUUACAUAACUUAAUUAAUUAAUUAAUAUUAUACAUAAAUUACAUAACUUAGUUAAUUAAUAUUAUACAUAACUUACAACUUACAUAACUUACAACUUACAUAACUUACAAUUUUUUAAUUAUUCGUAAAUUACAUAACUUACUUAAUUUUCAUAAUAAAUAACUUACAUAACUUGCAACUUACAUAACUUAUACGACAUACAUAACUUACAUAGCAUAAUUUGACUAAUACACAACUUACAUAAUUUUCAUAAUAAAUAACUUACAUAAUACAUAACUUACGUAGCUUAGUUAUACUUAUUCCUAAAUCCUAAACCCGUGCAAUUUAUUCUCAAGAUUAGGCUUCAAGAAAUAAGAAAUGGACCGGUCUUGGAUGAAUUUGUCAAGGGUAAGCGACGGUUAUCGAAAUGGAGUACAAACUUUUCUAGAUUUUGCAUUUCAACAUGCAAGCCAAGAGAACAUGAUUCUUUGCCCGUGUAAGAAGUGUGUCAACAUAAACUGGCAUUAUCGUGAAGUUGUAUACGAGCAUCUAAUUGUUGAUGGGUUUGUUCGUGGUUAUAAACAAUGGUUUUUUCAUGGAGAAUGCCCGCCUAGUACUUCCUCUUCAAGGAUGGAUGUAUCUUAUGAUAGUACUGCCUACCAUCAGUCUGUUAGAGGGGAUGACAUGGAAGGGAUGUUGCGUGAAGCAUUUAAUAUUCAGAGUCAUGGUUUACAGUCGUUCCCACCUGACUUUCUACCAUCUGAUGAUUGUAAUCUCGGUGGAAAUGCUGGUGCCCAACCCGGAAGAAGUGUACAUCAUGAAGAGCCGAAUGGAGAAGCGGUAAAGUUCUACGCGCUACUUAAUGAGAUGAACGAAGAACUAUAUGAGGGAUCAAAAUUUUCAAAAAUGUCAUUCUGCAUUCGUCUUUUCCAGUUAAAAUGUUUGGGAGGGUGGACCGGGAACUCAUUGACAAUGCUGUUAGAGUUUUUGAGAGAAAUGUUUCCGUUUGCAAAAAUCUCUCAGUCUUGCAAAGAUAUGAAGAAAAUUAUAAAAGACUUAGGUCUUGGGUACAACAAAAUCCAUAGUUGCCCAAAUGAUUGUAUGUUGUAUUGGGGCGAUCGGAGAAACCAACAGUGUUGUUAUGAAUGCGGUGAAUCCCGUUGGAUAAAUAGAAACACAGAAGAUGGGAACGACGAUAUAGUGCGUCAAUAGGUUUGGAGUGGGAAGAACGUCACUGACGAAGUUAAAUGGCUUUCCUAAGGUCCAAAUCGGGUGGUUAAAAGAUAUAGUGCGUUCCUCAUAAACGGAUUCAGAUUUCAUACAAAAUAUCGCGAGAGAUUGAAGAGAACGCAAAAUUGUGGAAUAGUGGUUAAUUCCUCAAUUACAAGUUAUGCUAGUGCUAGGGACAAUAAUCCUGUGGAGGAAAAUGUGGAAUAUUUUGGACUUCUUACUGACAUAAUUGAGUUGGAUUACUACGGCAAAUGGAAAGUUGUCUUAUUUCGAGGUGAUUGGACCGAUGUUAAUACUGCACGUGGAAUCAAGCAAGAUCAAUUUGGUUUCACAAUGGUAAACUUCGAUCGAUUGAUUCACACAGGACAACAAUUGAUUGAUGAGCCGUAUGUAUUUUCUUCUCAAGUCAAACAAGUUUUUUACUCAAAAGACCCAACUGAUGAGGGUUGGUACGUUGUACUCCGUAACAUCCCUAGAGACUUGUUUGACAUGGGCAGUGGAAGUAGAGAUGACAUUGACGACAGAACACAAACUUUGCCAUUUCCAGAACAGAACUUAAACGAAAACAUCCCUGGUACUAGUACACAAUUUCAAUGGGUCCGCCAGGAUACGGAUGAAGAGACUUACGAAUUAUAAUGUAGUAAGCUUUUACGAUUAUCUAAUUACAUCUACGAAUGAUGAUAUUUCAACUAUUUUAUAUGGGAUAUUAUUGUUGUAAUUGUAUAGUAAGUUUUCAACUAAUUUAUUUGUAUUGCAGAUAAAAUGCCUAGAAGAAAAGUGCGAUCGCACCGCAUUGUUCAAGGUACUCCAAACUCGGCGGAAACAAACAACACUGAACAACAGACUGCUAUUGGAUCUUCGAAUGUUCCGGUUACACCUGAGGAACCUAUAGAAGUUCAAAGUAAUUUAACAUUUAAUUUACAUGUGUGUUGACUUCUUGUUUUUUUUUUUAAAUUUCGUAUAUUACAAUACUUUUAUUUUUCAGAUGAAAUUGGUGGGACGCGAAGAGGUCGCGGACGUACGGUAUUGAGCGAUUUAUACGACCUAGAUCUAGUCGAGCGUGUCCAAGUAUCCAGUAAUAGCUUUGGUCAGCCUGUUGGAUCAGAAGCUCGCCUUUUAGCAGGAUACAUGGGCAUUCUAGCACGGAAUGCAAAUAUGUUGCCAAUUAACUUCGACUCAUGGCAUAAAGUGCCCGAGAGUAACAAGAACCAAGCUCUCGAUAACAUUAAGGUAACAAAACGUGUAUGUCAUUUAUAAUACUUGGGUUUAAGUUUCGUUUACAUUUACUUUCUUAAGUUGUGUUUUUUGUAGGCGAGAUUUGCUCUAGAGGUCUCCGAUGCUUAUGUAAAGAAGGCAUUGGGAAAAAGAUGGAGAGACCAUAAGAGCACUUUAAAGAAAGACUAUUUUAAGACAAAAACAACACUGGACGAGAGAUUACAAAAUGUCCCGCCGGGAAUGCUGAGGUACCAGUGGGAAGAGGUCGUUAGAUUUUGGGCUUCAAAGAAAGGAGAGGUAUGUGUAACGUAUAAAAUUUUGAAAUUAUUUUGGUGUAUAGUAUUUCCUAAUUAAUGUACUAAUAAUUUCAUAAUGUAGGAUCGUGAAGAAGUUGGAAAAAAAAGUAGGCAGCAACAAAAAUUCACUCACACAGCUGGGUCGAAAAGUUUUGCGUGUGUAGCUCAUGCAGAGGUAUUUUCAAUUUUUAUAUAUUGGAGGAUGAUAACUACUUACUUACAUUAAUAUUUUACUAUUGUAUUGUAGGAACUGUCGUCCGGUCAAAAAGUUGGACGCCUUCAACUUUUUGACAUUACACAUAGGAAGAAAGAUGGAAACCAUAUGACUCCUGAAGCUGCAGAAAUUAUGGUACGUUUGCUUAAUUAAUACAAUUUCACUUGUUUUAAUUAUUUAUAGUGUUUAUUUUCUAAUGAUUUAUUUCAUUUUUUGUAAUGCAAAUAUUGUUAAGUUAUGUUGCAUUGGGUUUUUUAAUAUAUAUUGCGUUCCUAACUAUUUGAUUUAUUUUUUAGGAAAAAUUAAGGAUAACAAGGUGGAGUACGAAGCGAUUGCUUCCAGUGAUAGUUCUGUUCAUAUUGACGACAUUGAUAACCGGAUUAUCACUGAAGUUUUGGGUCCUGAAAGGUAUGGUCGGGUUCGAUUUCAAGGAUCUUUUGUUAACCCAUCCCAAUUUUUUGGAUCUAGCUCGCAACAAUAUAUGCCUUCGGGGAGUCGAGCCGAAGCUGAAGUUCAGAGGUUAAGAGACCAGAUGGAUCGUAGCAAGCGACAACAAUUGAGCAAAUUACACAACUUAAAGCGGAGGCAACAUCGAGAGAAGCUGAGGUUCAAAAAAGAUAUGAAGAACUCCAGCUACAACUGAAAGCAGAUGCAGCAGCGAGAGAAGCUGAGGUUCAACGAAAGUAUGAAGAACUCCAGCAGCAGCUUAAAGCAGAUGAGGCAGCAAGAGAAGCAAAGGCCGCAGCGAGAGAAGUACAGGCUGCAGCGAGGGAAGCAGAAGCUAAAGCGAGGGAAGCAGAGGCUGCAGCGAGGGAAGCAGAGCAGCGUCAAAAGUUCGAUGAACUCCAGCAGCAGCUUCAGAGUAUGAUGAAGAUGUUUCAGCAGUCGCAACAGCCGCCGUCUUAGACUAUAGUGUAAAUAUACUUCGAUUUUGACUUUUAAUUAUCAUUUUAACUUUUAACAUUUUUGUAAGAAUAAUACGAUUUUUAUUUUAUUUAUUGAUAUUUAUUAUAUUAUUUGUUUAAUAUAUUGAUUUAUUACUUUUGGCUGCUUUAGAUAUGAUUUCUUUUGAUUUGUUUUUACAGGAGGGCUGAAAAUAUAAAAAAUUUUAUUUUACAAAUCUGCCAAAUUUAGUACCGUUUUUAAAAAAAACGCCACUAAAGGUGUUGGCCUUUAGUGGCGUUUUUGGUCAAAGCGCCGCUAAAGAUAAGGGUCUUUAGCGGCGUUUGUGGAAAAAGCGCCACUAAAGAUCAUAGUCUUUAGUGGCGUUUGUGGUCAAAGCGCCGCUAUAGAUCAGGGUCUAUUACGGCGUUUGAGGGGAAAGCGCCGCUAAAGACCCUGAUCUUUUGUGGCGUUUUUGGGAGAAGCGCCGCUAAAGAUAAGGGUCUUUAGCGUUGCUUCCACUAAAGCGCCGCUAAAGGUCUUAGUCUUCAGCGGCGUUUGUGCAAGAUGCACCGCUAAAGAUCAGGGUCUUUAUCAGGGUCUUUUAUUUUUAAAGAAAAUCUUCAUUUCGAGAAGGUAAUAUGUCAUGCCCAAUACGUUAGGACACCACAAAUUAAGUUCCCGAAAAUGAUUUUUACUUAUACAUUUUGAAUAACGAAUAUUCUCGGUUAUUUGGAAUUAACAAAGAAAAUCGAAACCCAAUACGUUAGGGCUCAAUUUCCUCGAAAGUUCCUAACUUUGAAUAUCGUUUUUAUUUUAAAAACCUUUGACAAAAUCAAAAUAUAUUUUUAAAACAUAUGUUUAAAAAAAAUGAAUGCAAUAUGAAACAAAUAUUUUAAUUUUAAUCAUAUGUAUACAUAAGUAUGACAUAUAAAUAAUUUUUGCAAAUAUGUAUAUGGAUAUGAGAGGAAAAAAUGCAUAAAUUUUAUAAAAUGUCAAUGCAUAUAUCUAUAUGAAUACAUAAGUCAUAAGAAUAAAACCAUAAUAAAAUACACAUAAAAUAUAUUCAUGUAUUUAUAAAAAAAUGUAUAAGCAUAAUAUAUUGGUAAAUAUAAAAAUAUAUAUUUAUAUUUAUAAUAAGUUUUGAAUAGAGUAUAAAUAUAUAUGUACAUAUUAUAAAAAUGUAUAAACAUAUACAAAUUAUAAAACAUGGGAAACGUAUAAAUGUUAUAAAAUAUAAAUGUAUAUACAUAUAUAUAUAAAAACUAUGAAAAUAAAAUAAUAAAUAGAAAAAAAUAUGUAUAGGUAUUUAAAAAAUUUUAAAAAUAUAUAUAUUAUAAAAUACUCAUGCGUGUAUAUGUGUAAGUAUAAUAAUAAUAUAAUAAUGAUAAUAAUAAUAAUUAUUAUAAUUAUAACCACUAUAUUAAUAAAAUAAACUAAAAAAAACUUAAAACGAAAGAUCAUGGAUUAAAUUGAAAAUAACAGAAGUUUCAGGGGCAAAUUUGAAAUAAAUAAAACAUCAAUGGAUCAAAUAGAACAUGCAGUUAACAGUGGAGGACCGAAAGUGAAAUUAAUCCAAACCUCCCAAAACUCCACGCAACAAUGGAUUAAAAUAAAACAAAUUCAGCAUUUCUUGGAAAAAUUUGAAAACAAACAACAAUGAUUUUGAAAUGAUGGGAUAAAAUGGAAGGAUUAAAAACGUAAAUAUCCCAUCAGUGCUUAAAACCCUUUUCAAUCUCAAAUUUAAACGCUAUUCUGCAGCAGCAAUAGCCGCAAAAACUGUUUCAUCUCCUUCCCAACUCUUCACGCCAAAACCUUUAACUUUGAUUUGGACAAAACUAAGCAAACGAUGCCGACGGCGCGCCUCUGCUGGUAAGAAUCUCCUCCCUUUCUUUUACUAUUCAUUUUUUUUCAAAAAAAUGAAGUAAAAUACAAAAGAAAUAUGAGAAAAAAAAUAGAAACAGUAAAAACUUGGAAAGAACAAAUCACCUUCAAAAAUUUGUUUUUUCCGAUUCUUUUCUUUCGUAUUUCAGUAUUUUUCAAUAUAUGUGUGUAACCCUUUUACAGAUUUGAUUUGGCUUUAUAUAGCUGAAACAACGGAGAAAGAAACUAUCGAAAAAACUCUCCUCCUUUUGUCGUAAUUUCUGCUAUUAUUUCUAUUCGUGGUUCAUGGCUUGUUGCAGGUACGGGCAUCGUGCGAAGCUACCAGACGUGGGUGAGACGACGUGGGCAGUUGCUAUGCGUUCGUGCGUGCGUGAAGACGGUUGCUGCAACGUGGGGGCGAGGGUGACGCCGAUCCGCUGCUUAUUGCCAAAGGUUUCUGCUGUUCAUUUUUUUGUGUUUUAGGCUAGUGGGUUAGGUAUUUGGGUUGUUUGGGUAUUGGGCUUGUAAUUUAGUUAUUGGGUCAGGGUGUUAUUGGGUUUAAAACUGGGUUUAGUAAUAGGCUAUUAUAUAUAUAGCCAGGCCAAAAUUGGCCUAUUACAAUAAUUAUUGUAAAUAAAUUAUUCUUUUUGUUUAGUGUGUAAUUGAAUUUUUAAGGAAAGAUUUAGAAAGGAGGGUGGUUUAGUUAAUAUAUAAGAGCGAAGUUGCAACUUGAUAAAUAAGUUUAACUUAAAUCAAGUAUUAUAUUGUAAAUUGAUAGUGAAUUAAUUUCUAGGUAAGACCACACAGGCAUAGGAAGUUUUCUAUCUAUGUAUUUUUACUUUAUUAGUUAGUGAUGCCAGUUACGAGCAUAAAAUGUUUCCACAUAAUCAAUUGUGUUCAUCUCAAACUUUUAAUGUGCUAAUUAAUAAGGCUUAUUGUAAUUGAAUGCGUAGUUGAAAAUCAACCUUUAUGUGAAACACAUUUUUUUGAACCUAAUAUUGGGAUAAAUCUCAAAAUUAUAUAUGAACUUUGAUUUAAUGUGUAAUUGUAUAUAUGAACUUUAAUUUGGUGUAGUUAGACACGUGAAAUUUUGAUUAUGGUUCAAAUGUGUAUUUGAAAUUUUAAUUUUGAUUUAAUCAUAUACACACUUAAAGAAAUAGAUAAAUCAAUCUAUUGUUAUAUUAGAUAAAUAUAAUUAUUUAUAUAUGCAAUAUAUAAACAUAAAAUGAUGUCAUAUCAAUUAUUGUGUUAAUAAUUUACGAGAAUUGGAUCAAAUCAAAAUUUCAUGUAUAAAAUUGCACAAAAUCAAAGUUCAUGUGUUAAACCAUAGUUCAUGUAUAGUUUUGAGAAUUAUUCCUUCAAAUUAGUAUCAUAUUGUUUGAUUAAAUUCCUAUAGAAAAUUAAAAAAAUUAAACUAUUACAAAACAACUAUUUUGAAUUCUUUUUCUUAUUAAUUUAAAAAUAUACAGACCUAAUCUUUGAAUAAAUAAAAUAAUGUAAUGUAAGAUCUUUCAUUAAAUGAAAAUUUUUGCACCUUGUUUUUUCCGGCUUGGACAUGCCAUCAAUAAUUUUCAAACUUGGGUAGUCCAAAUACGUUGGUCACAUGACCAAAGUCCCAGAAAAUCUAGUCCAAGAAUUGGAAAUACGGGCUGAACAAACCAAAAGAGAUAGCUUUGUCAGUUCCAUGUCCCAUGGAGAUGUCCAUUUUGAAUCAUUAGCUUUUUUUUUGUAUUUUUUAUUUUAAUACAUAUGUUUUGACUUUUAAUUUAUAAUUAAUUUAUACUUUUUUUAUAUUUUUAAAUCAUUUUUAUAAUUUUUUAUCCAAAAAUGUUUUUUUUUAAAUAUUUUUCUUUUUUGUUAAAAAAAAACUUUUAGAAUUAGAAUUAAAUUGAAAUUUUUUUUGUAAACAUCGAGGGUUAAAUUUGUUAAAUUUUUUAAAUUUAAGAUCAAAUUGAUAGAAUAUGUAAACAUUAAAGAGUUACAUUUAUUAUUAAACCAAUAAAAAAUACCCAUGCCAACUUUCCUUCACCCAUUUAAUGAUAACUAAUUGGAGAAUAACUAAAAUAUUCGAUUUUGAAAAGUUAAGUAACUAAAAUGAAAAAAAUUAAUAGUUAGGUGACCAAAAUAAAACUAAAUGUAUAAUUGAAUGACUUAUUUUAUAAUUUAUCCUAUUUAUCAUAUAAUAGUCCUAGAAAAGUGAAUUUUAUAUAAUAUUUAAAUGAAUUUUAAACCAUAAAAAAAUUAUUCAUAAACAUAAAUAAAUUCUGACAUUUUAAUAAACAAACAUGAAAAUAUUAUUUAUAUUCAUUUAUAUAACUUAUAAACGAAUAUAAACCCAACAACUCAUUUGACGUGAAUCGUAUAUCCUUCCUCUAAAAUGUCGCUUUAAUUAAAUAUCAUGUCAUCAAGGACAUGCACGUUAAGUGCUUUGAACCAACGAAGUUGUUAAUCACGUGUUGGGACGACUCCAAUCAAUUAAGUACAUACAACUUUAUCAAUUGUGUCAAAAUAUCAUUUGCGGAUAAUUAUAUACAUAAUUAAUAAAUGAAAAAAUUUAUUAUUUUUAUCUAAAACUAUUCAUUACACUAUAAAUUUUUAAAGUUUCACAAAUAAAAUUUAAGAUUUUAAUAAAUAAGACAUGUUGUAAUAUUUGUUGAAUUAAAAUAUUCUACCAUAUCAAGUUCUAAUCCAUUUUUUAUUUCUUAAAUAUAAUAUAAAAAUAGUUUAAUCCAUAAAUUGGUAUCUAAAUUAUAUAUUUUUUUCUCUUUUUGGUAUCUAAACUUUUUCUUUGGUCACAAGUGAUAUCUAAAUUACUUUUUUUUUCUUCAAGUUGGUAUUUUUGUUAGUUCAACCGUUAGGUCUAUUUUAAAAAAAAAAAAGACUUAGCCCACAAGUUAGUAUCUAAAUUAUGUUUUCCAAAAGUUCUUUCAUCGUUCAAAAUCAAUGUUUUCAGAACCGGAUCAACUAGUUGGAUUGAAAUUUGGUUGAGGUACGAUAGAGGUUGAAUAUAAAGACAAAAUAAUAUUUUUUUGGUCUUUAUUCUACAUGACAAUUUUUAAUUGGUUAUCUUUUUAUUUUCUAAAAUGGACUUAACAAUUUAAUUAACGGUUGAACUAAUAAAGGUAUCAACUUGAAAAAAAAAUUAGUUUAGGUAUCACUUGUGAAAAAAAAUGUUUAGAUACCAAAAUAAGAAAAUGACAUAAUUUAAGUACUAAUUUGUGGGUUAAGCCUAUAAAAAAAUUGUGAUUGGCAUCUUACACUCGCUUGUAUUUUUUCAAACGCAAAUAUAUUCAAAGUAAAAUGAUUAAAUUUAAAAUGUAUGAUGACUUAUUUGGCUCUCGAAUUUUACAAAAAAAAAAUCAUUUUAGCUAUUCAUUUAAUUUUUUUUGCCUCUUUUAGUCCUUGAACUUGCAUUGUUUGUCAAACCAUCCAAAAUGGAUGAUCUAUUAACUUUACUAAUGGGGCAUCCAUAUGGCAAUCAUGUAUAUGCCACAUCAGCAAUUAAUUAAUUUUUCAAAAUUUAAAAAAUAUUAUUUUUAUAAUUUUUAUACUUUUGUACUAAUUUUACUUUUUUUAUUUAAAAAAAUUAAUUAAUUGCUAACAUAACAUAUGUGUGACAAUUUACGUGUAUGCCACAUCAACAAAGUUAACAUACAUUAACUUUUUCAUCUAUUUUGAGGUGAUUAGAUAAAUAGCAAAAAUUUAAAGACUUUUAAGAGAAGAAAAACUAAAUACAAGAUUAAAAUAAAUAUUUUUUAUAAAUUAGGCCAAAUAAGUUAUUAUUACUUAAAUUAAACUAAAAUCUUUUGAUAUGCAUCAUUGAAGAACUACCUUAUGGAAAAGGUUUUAAUUAACAACUUAAUCAUUUAAUUUCUCUUAGAUAAAUAAAUUAUAUUUGUCUCACUUCGCUUUUGAUUUUCAAUUAAUAUGGUAAGAAUUAGGUUGGUGGUUAAAUAAUUAAUUUAAGAUUUAAUUAAUUGAAUUAGUUUAAUUAUAAAAAAAAAUUCAAAAAAUUAAAUAUUGAAGUUAACUUCGACGUGAUCCAAAAUGUUUUUAAAUGAUUUUUCGUCACCACUUUAAUCAAUUUUUUGUUGGUUCAUUUUUUUCCAAUCCUAAAUAAAAAGAAUAAAAUGUAAUAUAAUUUUAAUAUAAAAUUUCCAUAAUAUUUUUACUAAAUUUAUGUCAUUUUCGUACAUAAACAUAUCGACAGUGCAUAAGAAGAAUCACGCAUAUCUCGUGACACACGAAUGACCCUACCUUGAAAAUAAAUACCUUUGAAAACAAAAUAAUUUUCCAAUCACACAAAUAAUUCUCGCAUAGACAGCAAUAGAUGACUAAAAGAGCACCACACAAAUAUAUUGAUUGUAAUAACCACCUAAUUUUUUAAAAAAAGUCCACUUGUACACGAGAUUUGGAAUUAAAGAUUUUGGUGGGCUUUGUAUUAUUAUUGUUGUAAUAACAAAAAGAAAUUGAGUUUUUUUUGAAGGUUACAUUAAUAAUAGAAAUUGUAUUAAAAUAUAUUUUUGAUGUGGGUUAAUUAUUUAUAAAUGUAAGUAAAAUUUGUAUUUUUUUUAUAGGGAUGAAUUUGAAUAAUUAUACGUGAGGUUUUUGAGAUGCCAACAAAAGAUUUAAUCAUUGCAAUCUCUCCACCUUAACCACAGAAAAAAAAAAAAGAAGAUCAAAUUCUAUUAACUCUGACUCAUAGUGAUCAUUUAUCAAAGAAUGAUUGAAUAACUGGGACUAAUUUACUUACGAUACUUAAUUGGCAUUCAUAAAAAAGUAUCUAAUGAAUUACGAGUUAAAUACAUCCUGUUUAGCAGAAAGGCGAAUAUUCCUUGCUCAUUAUCAGACAAUCACUUAUUCACAAACUUCGUUUGGGGCUAAUAGUUUUCAUUUCCCACCUCGUGGAAAACCCUUUUCACUCCGUUUAGCCCUAUCUCCCUCUAAGAGUAUUUUAGCGAUAGGUUUUAUAGGAACCGUACGAUCCUAUUUGUUCAAAUACCUAGCGACAAACUCCUAUGUUCCUUUCAUUACAGUAUUUUUGAACAAGUUCCUGGAUAACAAGCUUCUGGAUAAUAAGCUUAAAGGUUUUCUUAUUGAUGAUAUCGAUAUUGAUAAUAGUGACGAUAUUGAUGCUAGUGAUGCUAUUGAUCGUGACCUUGAUACGGAACUGGAGCUUCUAACUAUGGUGAAUGUGUUAACAUGGUUAUGAUGUCGGAAAUAGACCGAUUUUAUCUCACCCUUCAAUUCGAACUAGCAAAAGCAGUGUCUCCUUGCAUAAUAUGGAUUCGUAUUGUUGAUAAUAAUCAUACGUGAUGUUAAUAUUAUACAUAAGUUCGGUUAUAAUUUAAAUUGGUCAUACCACGAAGACCUCUAAAUUGAAAAAAAAAAUUAUAUAUUUCAAGCAAUUAUAGUUAGUUUUUUUAUAUAUUUUCAAGGAGAUUAUAAGUAUAACCACAAGAAUAAAUUAUAAAAUAUACAUUUUCGAUAAAUUAAAACUAGAACAAAUUUAAUGUUAAACACAACAGACUGAAAAUUGAAAUAUAAUUGAGCAAGGGAUGACGUCCCUUCUAACCAAGGGCGGGAUAAUGUGAGUAAGUACAUAUACUGACUUACUUAAAAAUGGUGGAAUUGUGGUUUAGUCUUAUAGAAAUUGUAAAGUUACUAGCAACCCACAUAACUAUAUAUUCAUAUGGUACACGGUAAAAGAAAUAAAAAUUAUUUAAGCAAUGAAAUUUUUUGAAAAAAAUAAUAAUUAUUAAUAAAGUAAAAAAAUGUGAAUACUUUUAUUAAAUAGAUUUUUUUUGGGUAAAAAAAAUUCUACAGUUUCUCCCAUUUUUUUUGAUGAAUUGCAAUAACAAUACAAAUCUCAAACAAUAAACACGAUUAACACGACUCAAAUCCAGGCCGCACCUAGGGCGAUGAACACCCUUGACCAUCAGGCCAUCACAUGAGGUUCACCAAUUUUGAUAUUAAGCAAAAUUUUCCUUUUAAGAAAUCAAAGUAAUUUAACAUCUAUCAAUUUCAAAAAGUGAGUAACUAAAGAUAAUUAAUCAUAAUGUUAAUGUUUUUUUCAUAAAUUGUAUAUACUUUUAUCAAUAUGAUAAAAAAAUAGCCCUCAAAAUUUACACAUUCUGUCAAUUUAGUUUUGAUUUAAUAAAUUUAGUUUACAACAUUUACACAUUCUGUCAACAUUUACACAUAAUAUAUAAACAUCAAUAACUAAAUCUAUUGUUAUAUUAAUCAAAUUUAUGUACAAUUGAUAAAAAAAUUAGAACUAUAAUUAAUUAUCCUAAAAUUAAAUGAUUCCAAUUUAAUAGUAUAGAUAGGUACUUUCCUUUUUAAGAUCACAAACAUUUACUGGGAAUUAGGUAUUAGAAUUGUCGGAGGUUACCAUAUUUUGAUGUGAUGGAACAUUAUUAAAUAAGAGGAAAAUGUUAUCAAUUAAAUGCCACGAAUCAAUUGGACGACUUAAUAGAAAAAAAAACUAAAAAAUUAAUGCUUUCUAUAAAGUAAUAUUUUUAUAUUUUAUAUAAAAUCAAUAAAAGUGAUUUAAAUUUAAUCAUUGUAAUUUUUAAACUGUGAAUUUGACAAUUUCAACUAUAUUAUUAUUUGAUUCAUAUAUGUACAAGCCUAAUUUUUAUGCCCGGGCCCACUACCCAAUAAACCUAACCCAACUACCAUAAACCCAAACCCGGAGCCCAAUAUCAGGCCCAACAGACCCAGAAACCAAAGUCGGCCUAGGGUUUCAGAAACUGAAACUCUAGGCGCCGCACCUUGCUUCAGACUCUUGGUCUCCUAAGCGCCGCCUGGUUCAGACCUUUGGUCUUCUAUUUCCACUCGUUUUGACCCUUGAUCUCCGAGCCGCCGCGCGUCUGCCGCCACCAUCACAUCAACCGUCGCCCAUCAACCUUGCAAAACGGAGAACUCGCAGGCAACAAAAUAAUACAAAAAAUAGCAUGUAAAUAGCAACCAAUCGCCUAUAAAAAGCUGAACACCAUCGUUGUAUUUUUUUUACAACGAUUAGUGAAUGAAAAGCAGAUCAAAAAUUAAAAAAAAGGUUGACUCCAGUUCUCUUUUCAAUUCUUGCACCCUUUAUUUUAUUUUAUUUUAUUUUUGCUUGUUUCACUACUCUUUUAAACAAAAAAAACGAAAUGAAAGAGAGAGACAGAAAGAUGCCUGUCCGCUUCAAAGAUCGGCGUCGUCGCCUAUCUUUGCCGUCGUCUGAGUCGAACGCGGGAAAGGGCCCUUUCUUUCUCUUGAUCCCACGGUUGAGAAGGCCAAGCCUUUGAGGACACCGAAAGGAGGGCUAAAAGGCCCAUUUCGCGCAACUCCGGCCACUGGCCGUGGAGGUAGCGCGGCGGUGGCCAAAAUCCGGGGCCGGAAGUCGUAGGGGGCUUGAGGGGAUUCUCUGUUUCUUUCUUUUAUUUUUGCGGCUGAUUAAUGAAAUUUAUGUUUUUUUUUAGUUUUAUAACAUCUAAAACGACGCUGUUUAAACCCCCAUGAUCUGCGCGCGAUCCGACCCGCUCUAGGGGGGAUCCGCGUGUUUUCAUGAUAUGGGCUAUUUGCGGGCAAGACCCCUCCUAUUUUGAGCUGUAGUGCAAUCGGGUCUUUGUGGUUUUCAUACUUUGGCCGCAUAAUUUUCUGAUUGUUUCUUUUUGGUCCGGAUUGAAACGCUGUGUUUGAGGGCUAGGAAUAUUACCCAGUCGAUCCCUUGUCCUUUAAGAGCAUUUCAUUUUGGUCCCGAGCCACCUUCUUUGUUCAUUUGCGAUUCUGACCCCUAAAUUUCGGUCCGUUUUCAAUUUGGUCCUUAAUCUAUUUAUUCAUUUAUUUUUUAUUUUAUUUUAUUAAAAAAGAAAACAAAAUAAUUUUAUUUAAUACUUCAUUUAAUGUUAUUUACUUACUUUCGUUUUUUUAUUUCCCUUUUUUGGUCAACAUUACAUAGGUUUUAUUUUAUUUAUUUAUUCAUCUUUUUAUUUGAUCCUUUUAUUAAUUUUAACCGAUUAUUAUUGCAAUCUUAUUCUAUUAUUUAUUUUUUAUUUUCACGCAUUUUUAAUAUUUAGUUUUAUUAGUAUUGUUAUUUCGUUAUUGUUAUUGUUACAUUAUUACUUGCAUUAUUAUUAUUCAUAUAUUGGCACUAAUAUUUGUUAGUUUAAAUGUUGUAUGUAUAUGUUGACACCUUUUUUUGGAUGAAAACGGGGUCGACUUGGGUUUUGAAAACGAAAAUGAAAAAAACGGGAGUCGCCACCAAUCAUUUUUUAUAAGGUGUGAUUGGAUCACCUCGAAAAGUGGUUGUUUUUAAUAAAAGAUUUGAUUUUAUUAAAACCACGAGUUUGGUCCACGAAAUUCAAAAAAAUGGGUUCGGGAGUCGGUUACGCACGAGGAAGGAUUAGCACCCUCGAUACGCCCAAAAUUGGUACCUAGUUGAUUACUUAAUGUCUUAGUGUCGAAAAACUGAAAACUUUAAAGAAAUUUAAAAUACGAUCCUUAUUUUGAAAGAAAAUUUAUAAAAAUCGAGCUGCUCGUUAAGACUUUUUAUUUCAGAAAGAGAAAAUGUCACACCCAAUACGUUAGGGUACGAUAUCUUAUCUCUUCAGAAAUGAGCAAGUCUAAACUCACAUAGAAAAGUUUAAAAGAGUGUUUGAUUGUUUAAGUCAUAAAAAAAAUUGUAACCCAAUACGUUAGGGUAUAAUUUCUUCAAAUGUUAAACAUUGAAUAUUUUAUUUAUUUUGAAAAAUUCUCGUCUCGAAGAAUCAACGUAUCAUGUCCAAUGCAUUAGGACACGACGUAUUGAAUUCUCGAUAAUAAGUUUUAUUUAUGUCCUUUUUUAAAAAAGAUUAACCUCGAUUGUUUAGAUUCAACGAAGAAAAUCAAAACCCAAUACGUUAGGGCUCGAUUCUUUCGAGGAUCUCAAAUACCGAUUGUUACUUUUAUUUUGAAAUUUUCCGUUUUUUGAUAAAUCCAAGUAGAAGUAGGUGUAAAAUAACAAUAAUGAUGCAACAUAAAUAAAAUAAUACAAGCAAAAUAAGAAAAGAUAAAUAAAUAAAAUGUCAAACAUAUAAUAAAAGGAAAUCAAUAAUUAAAAGUAAACAAAUAAAAAAAAUUAAAGCACUUAAAUAAAAUAAUAAUGAUAAUAAGCAUGUAAAUUAAAACAUUCGUUCAAAAUAAUAAUGAAAAUGAAAUAAAUAAAUAGUAAAUACAAAAUAAAACAAUAGUAAUGAAUAAAAAUAUAAUAUAUAUGUAUUUAUGUUAGAAUUAUAAAGUAUUAAAAUAUACAUAUGUAUAUAAGAAUAUGUAAGCAUGUAUAUAUACAUAGAUUAUAAAAUAUAGAUAUGCAUAUAAAAAUAAGUAUUUGUAUUAAAUAAGUUGAAAAAAAUAUAUAUACGUAUAUAUAUAAACAAUUAUAUAAUAAUCAUAAUAUAAUAAAACAAAUAUAUCUAAAAUUUACAUAAGUAAAUAUAAAUAAAAACAUGACAAUAAUAACAAUAAUAUUAAUAAAUAUACUAAUAACAAUAGUGAAGAUGAUAAUAAUAAUAAUAAAAUAAUGAAGAAAAUAAAAAAACUAAAAAGGGGACUAAAUCGAAAUAAAAACAAAAAAUAGGCGAAUUUGAAAUAAAAAAAGACGGGAAGAACCAAAUUGCGACGCGCGCUGAAAGAGGGGGGACCAAAAUUGUAAAUAAACCAAAGUCCCAAAACGCUACGCUGCAAUGGACCAAAUUGAGACAAAAAUAAAAAUUAUGGGGCUAAAUUAAAAAUAACAGAAAAUAGCGAAGAGGGCCGAAUUGCAACGCGCUUCAAAGUCGGAGGGACUGCGCGUGCAAAUAUCCCAUUUAAAGAAAACACGCGGAUCCUCCCCCUGGAUCGGGUCACCGCGCGGGUCAGAGAAGCCUAAAACGAUGCCGUUUUGUGGGGGUUAUUUAAACCCAAACUUCUGAAAAAAAACCACUCCAGCCACCAAAGAAAGAAAGAAAAAAUUUAAAAUAAAAAAACUCCCUAUUCCUCUCAAAAGUCCGGCCUUUCGGUCAUAUCAGCGCCGCCAUUGCGCCACCACGGGCGGUGGCCGACCUCGCGCAAAGGCGGUGUUCUAGACCCCGUUUUUGGACCCAAUCAAAGGCUAUACUCACUUAGCCCGAAGGCCAAGUGGAAGGGCCCCUCAACUCGACCUUUCGGGGCCAAUUUCCUCGACGGACAGACUCCGACGGCGGCGCAACCGAAAGGAGAAACGGUAAGUUUUCUUCCCUUUCCUUUUAAAUCGUUUUUAUAGAUAUAUAGAAAGAAAAUAAAAAAAGUAAAUAAAAUAUAAAAAAACGAACAGAUCUAUAAGACAAAAAAUAUCACCUUAAAUUUUUUCUAUUCUCUGUUUUUUUUGUUACAGAAAUUGCUAGAAAAAGAAAAGGGUUACAUUUUGUUGGCUUUUAUAGCCGAUUUUUGUUACUGUUUUGGUCGCUUCUAUUGUUUUCUUUGUUUUUGUUUCUUCUUUGCAGGUGACGGCGCAAGUGGAGGGUUGACGUGACUGCGGGCGGCGCCGAUGGGACGGUGGCGGCGUCAGAAGGCCAAGGGUCAAAGGCUAAGGAGGAGGGCGGCGCCUAGGGUUUCAGAAACUGAAACCCUAGACAGAUAUUUUUUUAGGAGAUUGGGCCUUAAACAUUGGGCCUCGGGUUUGGGUUGCAUUGGGCUCCGGGGUUGGGUUCAAAUGUAAAUGGGUUUUUGGUUUAAUUGCUUUGGGCUGAGGGUUAAUGGGUUAAUUUAAUUGGUUUGGUGUAUUGGUAAGGUUAAUUGGGUUGUAUUGGGUUUUGGGCUAAAAUUGGGCUUGUACAUCUGUCCCUCUUUGCUCGUUGUCGUGUAACGAUAACAGAGCAAAGACUAAGAAAGACCAAUUUUUGCCCGGUCUUGCCGAGGAAAUAAGAUUCGCCGUUGCGGUUUCAAUAUUUUGAAUUGCAAUGUCGGGGAAGUGAGAUUCGCUGUUGUAGCUUCAAUCUGCUCCGCUGCAUCACCUGGGAAGUAAGAUUCACCGUUGUGGCUUCAAUCUUUUGAAUUGCAAUGUCGGGGAAGUGAGAUUCGCCGUUGUAGCUUCAAUCUGCUCCGCUGCAUCGCCUGGGAGUAAGAUUCACCGUUGUGGCUUCAAUCUUUGAAUUGCAAUGUCAGGGAAGUGAGAUUCGCCGUUGUAGCUUCAAUCUGCUCCGCUGCAUCGCCUGGGAAGUAAGAUUCAUCGUUGUGGCUUCAAUCUUUUGAAUUGCAAUGUCGGGGAAGUGAGAUUCGCCGUUGUAGCUUCAAUCUGCUCCGCUGCAUCACCUGGGAGUAAGAUUCACCAUUGUGGCUUCAAUCUUUGAAUUGCAAUGUCAGGGAAGUGAGAUUCGCUGUUGUAGCUUCAAUCUGCUCUGCUGCAUCGCCUGGGAAGUAAGAUUUACCAUUGUGGCUUCAAUCUUUGAAUUGCAAACUAUGGUUUCUUCGAUCUGCUUCACUGUCAGUACAGGAAAGCAAGAUCUGCAACUUCAUUGGUCUGUUCUCUAGGGAACAUGACUUGUAUGUUCUAUUUUAUGAACCUAAUUAUGCCUAGUGUUUAGGAUGACAUGAUCAGAAUGAAUCAAAUGCUCCUAACUAGAUGCGCAUGAAUGACAUUUUAAUGAAUGCUGAAUGUCAUGAAGAUGAUUCCUUAAUGUUUGAGUUGUUAUUGCUCAUUGCUCAAUCAGGCUUUACAGCCAACACGUACAAAUGCUAUCUUGUCCGGUUGGUAAUGCUCAUCCCUUACUUGGUCGAAUUUCCCCCAUUAUAAUCUUCAAGGUUCAAUCCACUGGAUACAAAAAUUGGAAUCAUCUUUCUCCCUCUGUAACCCAAGGAUAGAAAGACCUAGCCCUUUUCUCGAUCCUCUGUUAUCAUAAUUCAAUGAUACAGAAUGUGAAACUCUUCGGUCUCCUACACCAUUCCCAAGGUGUUAUUACAAAUGUUUAUGCACAAUGAAGAAUUUUCCUCUCCCAGAAGACCUUUUCUUAUUGCUUGGUGAACAUCGCUUGUUUAUUCUUUGAAGUCUUGUCACCAACACGACAUCUUGUCAUUUUGUUUUAUCCAUGUUUGGACAACAAAUUUUGAAAGGAUAGUCUUGACUUAAACCUUUUCCUUUUAGACGCUUUAAAUUUGGUGUGUUCUAUGCAACAGUCCUGUUUCAGGUUCCUUCAUUAUUUAGAAAUUUCUAGAGUAAUAUGCAAAACUCUAUUUGCUUGAACAUUCAGUCCAUUGAAAGAUUAUCGCAACAAACAAACAAAAUGUUAUUGAGAACAAAUCUUGAAAUGAAUGAGUUAAUCAAGAUAACAAAUUUUGUUAAGAUAAGAUGAAAAAAAAGACAAUAAACAAAAUGUAAUUUUAUUGGGGAACAAAGCUUGAAAUGAAUACAUUAAUCAAGACAACAAAUUUUGCCAAGAUUCAAAAUAUAAAAUGACAACAGGUGCCCCAGAUAUCGCAGCACGAGCUUCCCUGCAUAAGUUUUUCUAGAGACCAUUUAAUAUGUGUUUAGGGAAUCUACAGUAUUUUGUCAAUACCCCAAGAUAUCGCCUACCCUUUCUUGUGAUUCAGGUAUAGUAAGACCACCACAUGCCCCAGGUUUUGAUCAAAAUUUGAGCUGUUCCUUUCACCUCACAUUUCUUUAAAAUUUGAGCCGCCUUUUUCAGGUUUUCAACUCAAAUCCCCUUUGGUCUCAAGGCGCCCUUUAUGGGUUUUCACAUUGGCCUCUCCCUUUUUUUUGGAGUGCCCUUCAUAGGUUUUCACUUUGGUCCUUCCCUCUUCAAGUGAAAUAUUUCUUGACUGAAUCUGAGUUUACAGGAUUUGGCAGGCUUUUACCAUCCAUCUCGCUCAAGAUUAAAACUCCACCAGAAAAGGCCAUUUUUACCACAUAAGGACCUUUCCAAUUUGGCAUACAUUUUCCUCUAACAUCUUUUUGUAGAGGAAGAAUUUUUUUCAACACCAAGUCCCCCUCGUAAAAUUUUCUAGGACGAACUUUUUUGUUAUAGGCUCGCAUCAUUCGUUUCUGAUACAUCUGACCGUGACGAAUAGCUUUUAACCUCUUUUCUUCUACCAAGUUUAGCUGGUCAUAUCGAGAUUGAAUCCAUUCAGCCUCAUCUAACUUUAGUUCGGCUAAUACUCAGAGAAAAGAGAUUUCAACUUCUAUGGGUAAAACUGCCUCCAUCCCAUAGACUAAAGAAAAAGGAGUUGCCCCCGUAGAGGUCCUAACAGAGGUACGAUAUGCCAGAAGAGCGAAAGGUAAUUUCUCGUGCCAGUCUUUGUAGGUUUCAGUCAUUUUCCCUGCAAUUUUCUUGAUGUUUUUGUUAGCUGCUUCCACGGCACCAUUUAUUUUUCGGCGGUACGGUGAUGAAUUGUGGUGUCUAAUCUUGAACUGACUACAAAUUUCUGCUAUUAAGUUGUUAUUCAAGUUCAGCGCAUUGUCAGAUAUGAUCCUUUCGGGCAUCCCGUAUCGGCAUAUGAUCUCUUUUUUCAGAAACUCUCUAACUGCGGACUUCGUGACAUUUGCAUACGAAGCAUCCUCUACUCAUUUAGUGAAGUAAUCAAUAACCACAAAGAUAAAACGAUGUCCAUUAGAAGCCUUUAGGGAUAUUGGCCCAAUAACAUCCAUUCCCCACAUGGAGAAAGGCCAUGGAGAAACCAUAACGUGAAGGGGUGAAGGUGGUGCGUGCAUUUUGUCACCAUAAAUUUGACAUUUAUGGCACUUUUUGGCAUAAUUAAUGCAAUCCCCUUCCAUGGUGGACCAAUAAUACCCAAAUCUCAUAAUUUGUCUGGCCAUCGUGAAGCCAUUGGCAUGCAUUCUAUAGAUACCUUUCAUGCACUUCUUCCAAAAUUUUCUUAGCUUCGACAGCAUCCAUACAUCUCAACAAUACUUGAUCUUUUCCCCUUUUAUACUAGAUAUCCCCAUCUAGGACAUAAUCAAUGGCUAAUCUCCUUAAUGUCUUCUUAUCAUUUCCCGUCGCAUGGUCAGGGUACUUACGACUCUUCACAUAUCGCAAUAUGUCAUGAUACUAGGCGUGAUCAUCCUUUUCCCCUUCAUUGUCAAUGUUGUAACAAUGGGCUGGAGCCUCAUAAAUGCUGAUCUGGAUAGGCUUCAUAUCCUCUAGUUUGUUCACUUUGAACAUAGAAGCUAGGGUGGCCAAAGCAUCUACCUUCUGGUUCUCAUCUCGUGGAAGAUAGCUAAAGGUGACACUAUCAAAUUCUUCAAUCAAUUCCAUAACCAAUUUUCGAUAGCGGACUAACUUCAGGUCUCUUGUUUCCCAUUUCCCUUUGAGCUGGUAAAUUACUAAUGUAGAGUCCCCGUAUACCUCUAACACCUUAAUUUUCCGCUUUAUGGCUGCUCGGAUGCCCAUAAUGCAAGCUUCAUACUCAGCCAUGUUAUUUGUGCAAUCAAAGUCCAAUUUGCUAGUGAAAGGGUAAUGAUCUCCACUAGGGGACACGAGUACUGCCCCGAUUCCGUUGCCUAUAGCAUUUGAAGCUCCAUCAAAAUUUAGCUUCCAAAGACCACCUUCUUGGAAAUCUUUUUCUGCAGUUGGAACAUACAUCAAAUCCUCAUUUGGGAAAUCGAAGUUCAAUGGCUCAUAAUCUUCCAGUGCUCUACUUGUCAGGAAGUCCGCUAUUGCACUCUCUUUGACCGCCUUCUGGUUCACAUAGACUAUGUCAAAUUCAGAUAGAAGAAUUUGCCAUCGGGCCAUUCUUCCAUUCAGAGCGGUUGACUCCAUCAAGUAUUUUAAAGGGUCCAAUUUAGAGAUUAACCAGGUUGUAUGGUACAACAUGUACUGUCUCAGUCUCCGAGUUGUCCAGAUUAGGGCACAACAUAACCUCUUGAUUGGCGAAUAUCUUGUUUCGCAUUCGGUGAACUUCUUACUGAGAUAGUAGAUUGCUCUUUCUUUUCGUCCUGACUCAUCAUGUUGACCAAGCACGAAUCCCAUAGAAUUUUCAAAUACUGCCAAAUACAGUAUGAGCGGUUUGUCUAGGCAAUGUGGCAUCAGGACUGGGGCGUUGGACAAGUGAUGUUUGACUUUUUCAAAAGUUUUUUGACAUUCCUCAUCCCAUACACCUGGAUUGUGUUUCUUAAGGAGACAGAAUAUGAGAUCACAUUUCUCGGUUAAUUGUGAAAUAAACCGAGCGAUGUAGUUCAGUCUUCCUAGAAAACCUCGAACCUCUUUUUGAGUACGCGGCGGAGGUAAUUCUUGUAUUGCUCUUACUUUGUCAGGAUCAAUCUCAAUUCCUCUCUCACUGACCACGAACCCAAGCAAUUUUCCUGAUCUGACUCCAAAUGUGCAUUUCGCUGGAUUUAGCUUUAGCUGAAAUUUUCUCAACCUCAUAAAUAAUUUCUUAAGGACCUGCACAUGUUCCUCUUCUGUUUUAGAUUUUGCAAUCAUGUCAUCAACAUAGACUUCUAACUCCUUAUGCAUCAUAUCAUGGAACAGUGUUACCAUGACCCUCUGAUACGUUGCCCCUGCAUUUUUUAACCCAAAUGGCAUCACUUUAUAACAAAAGGUCCCCCAUAGGGUUAUGAAUGUAGUUUUCUUCAUAUCCUCAGGAUGCAUAUUAAUUUGGUUAUAUCCAAAGAAACCAUCCAUGAAAGAAAAUAACGAAUACCCUGCUGUGUUGUCUACCAGGGCGUCGAUGUACGGCAAUGGAAAGUUAUCUUUUGGGCUAGCCUUAUUUAAAUCUCUAUAAUCUACACACAUUCGUACCUUCCCAUAUUUCUUAGGGACAGGUACGAUAUUGGCUACCCACUUAGAAUAUUUGACCACUUGCAGGAAUCCAGCAUCGAAUUGCUUUUGCACCUCCUCUUUUAUUUUUAAUACAACAUCAGGCCUCAUUCUUCGGAGUUUUUGUUGAACGGGUUUGCAAUCUUCCUUUAUAGGAAGACGGUGAACUACGAUAUCAGUGCUUAACCCGGGCAUAUCUUGGUAUGACCAUGCGAAGACAUCUUUGAACUCUCGAAGCAACUCAAUGAGGUCUUGUUUUACUUCUUUAGCUAUGCAUGUACCAAUCUUCACCACUUUCCCUUCUUCCAGGAUCACCGUCUCUACCGUAUCCUCAUGAGGUAAGAUUUGUUUCUCUUCCUGCUCUACCAUCCUCAACAAGUCCGGAGAUAGGUUGCAAUCUAUGUUAUCUUCAAAAUCUCGAGAUUCCUCUAAACACAUAUCUCGUUCAAAAGGAUUUUCUAGGUCCGUAGUAGGGUCACUCAUGUCAUUGAUAUCUUGGGACCUAUUAUGAAUAUCAAAGAAUGUACAAGGAAUGUAUGAAUUCAAGGAUUCUUAUUUAGUAUGGUCAUGAAUGAAAGAAUGAUUUGGAAUAAAAACAUCCAAAAUAAUUAUUCAUACGAAAGAAUGAAAAGAAUCUUAAAAGAAUAUAUACUCAAAAAGAAAAUGCGAAGAUAUAUUUCAUUAAAGUCAAAAUGUUCCAAUAUAAGCCCAUUUCAUUUCACAAAAAGUUUUCAUUUUCUCUAGGCUUAAAACAAUUAGUUUGUUUUGAAUAUUACUCUGGAAAAGCUCCAAAAACUUCAAGCAUUUCUUCUGCAGUCCAAUUGCUUAAAACGCUCCCAGGUUCAAAGGGACAGAUGUUAGAGUAUGCCCAAAGAUCAAUCAUGAGAUGGUUGUAAUAACAUACUUGAUUUAUCAUGUUUAUUAAUAUAAGACGUUACCAUUAUUAUUUCAGUUUCUUUUCUAUGUGUAUAAAUAAAUUGUUUUCUAAUAAUGUCCUAAGAAUAAUAUGAUUAUUCUUAAAAUAUCCUUAGUCAAGUAUUAUUGUUGGAUAGGACAACAAUAAUGCAUAACAUGUAGUUGAUUGAUGAUAAAGAGUUAUCAUUGAUAUGGAAUAUCAGAAUCGAUGCAUGAAUAUGUGUGUUAGAGAACAACAUAUUGGACUAACCCAUUAUGAGUAUGUUUCUUGGAUUAUUAUGUAAUUGUCACGACAUUACUCAUAGUGAUUAAUAUGUAUAUGAUCCUCAGACUUGAGAUCAUCAUAAUCCCAACAUCGUGAGUAGUAUAUUUUGAUACAGUCAAACGUACACAGUAACUGGUUGUUCUAUAAAGGCUGGUGUUGGAUAUACCACAAUCGAUGUAGAGGGAUAUGGUUGGUCGAUAUAGAAUAAGUCCCUCCUACAUAAUGGGAGUAAUAUCUUAGGCCACUUGAUUAAGUGAGACUAGAAAUGCAUGGCCAUGCUCAAAUAAGUUGAUAUGAGAUGCCAUACUUAUUUGUAUAUCGUAGUCUGCUUAAAAUAUCAAGGAACAUGGAAUGGACUAUACAAGUGUGACUAUUCCAUGACUUGUGUCCAAUCCAGAGAUAAAGGACUUAAGGAUUAUUGCAUAAAAGGUUAAUCAUAAAAGGUUAUGUCGAAUCAUGAUCUCUUGUGACUUAGGUAGCAAUGAUGCAUUGCUAGAUGCCACUCAUUGUUUGUAACAUUGGAAUCGUUCUAGUAUUACUGCUAACGUUACAAGAACCUACAGGGUCACACCCUAUAGUUAAAAUGAACGAAAUAAACCAUAGUUGGUAUUGUUUUUAGGUGUCACUUGAAUUAAAUUAAUUAUAGAAUUAAUUUAAUUCGAUUUCCAACACAUUAUGUACAAGGUUGUUGUACACAUAAUGAGGUUAGCAUAUGAAUUCAAAUAAAUAUAUGGUUUACCGAAAUUAUAUUAUAAUUAAUGUAAUUAUAAUUUUCGGUUUAAAAUAUUAUUAUAUUUAUUUUAAUUCAUAAAUAAAAACCCUAAAAAAUAAAUAAUAAGGAUAUAAGUAUCCCGUUUUUCUUUGUUUUUGGUCUAGCAGCCGUCAAAGAAAAUUCUCUCUCAAAACUAUUUUGGGGAUUUCUUCCGUUCGUAGCCAACUGGGUGGAUCACGUAGAGGUCGGAGUCUCGAUAGAUUGCGACUUAGUUCGAUUGUAGAUCAGACUACACGUUGUUGAUAAGUUGCUGUCUACUAAGAACAGCAUUAAGUAAUUUCAUAACCCUUUUCACCCUGAUUCGUUCCUCACACAUGGAUUCGUGGUUAGGGUCGCCGAUUAUUAAAUUUUUCCACUGCACCGUAGGGGUGCCGGCGAUCCAACAACAGAUACCUGAUAUACUAUUUUCUUCAGAUUCUUCUUCAGAUAUGGCAUUGAUGUUCAGACUUCCUAACAUUUCCUCCGCGGUCUUCUUUCUUGGAAUCCUCAGUCCAGAAUACAUGGUUCCCCCUGACACGAAGGUCCUGGAUAUGUGGGGGAAAGUUAUGGGUUCCCAAUCAACUUUUUCUCCGUUUAAACAUGCCUUCCUCCUCUCUUAUCUUUUCUCCAACUCUUUCCUUCUUUGCUUAGCAUUUGGUUUAAAUCCUAAAGCAAAGCGGUCUUGUUUGUCCUUCAGUACUGGUGGCUCUAUCCUUCCUUGAAGGCAUCUUCCUAGUCCUCUUUCGGGCAUAGCUCCUUUCCCAACUGCCAUUUGUAGUCCCAUCCUCGUGGCUCUAGAUAUGCUGGGCAUCGGGAUCUUCUUCCCCUCAAUGACAGAGGUUGCAUUUACAAACUCUAAGGAUCGAAAAGAACAUUCGACCGCCUCAUCAUCUGUUCCCAAAUAUGGUGCGUCACUGGUUACCAAUGCAAUGAUGUCUUCCUCAGCUUCAAUAGUAACUAACCGGCCUUCUGUCACUAAUUUCAACUUCUGGUGCAACGAUGAAGGCACCGCCCCUGCUGAAUGAAUCCAUGGUCUCCCCAGCAAGCAAUUAUAUGAAGGCUUGAUAUCCAUCACUAAAAAAUCCACUUCGUAUGUAUUCGGGCCAAUCAAGAGGGGUAUUUCUAUUCUUCCCAUCACAUUUCUUUCAGUACCAUCAAAUGCUCUCACUAUGUUCUGACAUGAUUUCAUGUGAGAGCUAUCCACCGGUAACCUAUUGAAGGUGGACAGGGGUAAAACAUUUAGGGCUGAUCCAUUAUCAAUUAGCAUACCCAAUAACAUAUACUCCCCACAACGAGUAGUGAUAUGUAAGGCUUUGGUGGCUCCUCUUCCCCCCGAAGGUAUUUCAUCAUCAUUAAAGAAAACGAAAUUGUUGGCACCGAUAUUGUUAACCAAACGGUCCAACUUAUUCACUGAGAUAUCGUUAGCGACAUAAGUUUCAUUUAGCACCUUAAUCAACGCAUUACGAUGUAUCUCUGAAUUUAGAAGCUACCCAAUUUUUUAAAACCUUAAACGGCCCAAUUGGGCCCAAAAAUUAAACAACAUCAGGGAUCCCUAGGGUUCCUUGCCUUUCCUUGCGCCGCUACUGCCCAUGUUCACUUUCAGCAUGCACAACGCCCGAGGUCUGCCAUCGCCAGCCAAGCCUGCACCAAAAUGGCAAGCCAAUCCGAUGCCCGCAAAAGAAAACCUACAAACAAGCAUGAAAGAAGGACGAGCAGAACAAAAAGCAGAAACAGUAAAAAUUAUAAAAAAAAGUAUUCUCUUUCAGCUUUAUAAGCCCAGAAACAAAACGAUGUAAAGGGGGGAAUUUUUUAUGAAAAGAGAUUGAAAAAAUAGAAUACAAAAAGAGGUGAUUUUUCGUUUCUUAUUAUUUUGUUCUUAUUAUUUUUAUUUAACUUUCAGUCAUAUAUAUUAUAUAUUAGAAAUAGAAAGAAAACUUUCUAAUAGAGGGACGGAUUCAAACAUGAAACGAAAGAAAAAGAUAGAUAAAGGAAGAGGAUAAACGAAAGCAAAGCUUUUGCACGGAUUCAAAGCCGUUUUAUUCCUCCUUUCUUUUUUUGUUUUGUUUCUUUUUUAGAAAAAAAAUACAUACAUACGAGUUUUAUAUAUGUCUAUAAAAAAACCGAGACAACUUAUCUGGGGUUUGACUGCCGAACGCUGCGGUGGCGUGGUGACGAUCGACAAACUAGCGGCGCUGAGGCAGGAGCUUGAAACCCUAACAGAAAAGAGCAUUUGAUUUAUUUUUUUCGUUCACAGCAGGCUGAUUUUUUUUUAAAAAAGGUGUUGCUUUUAUAAAGUGAAAGAAAUAGUGCCGUAUCAGCAAAUGGCCCAACCCGAUGAUCUGACCCGAGCGGGAUCAGAUCCGCGUAUUCUGGGUCUGUGAGGGAUAUUUUCCCUAUUGAUCCCUCGUUCUUUUCCCUUUUCUUAAUUUCAUUCGUUUAUUUUUUUAUUUACCCUAUCUAUUUUGAGCCUAUUCAUUUGGGUCCACGCCGCAGCACAGCGUUUUGGGGCUGGGGAUAUUUUCCUCUUUAAUCCCCAUGUAAUCCGCAUAUUGCACUUUAACCCCUCGUCUUGGUUAUAACUCUAUUCUUUUCUUGUUAAUUUAGAUUUGAUGGCACGGGCCAUUUUGGUAUGUGGCAAAGUGAGGUUCUAGAUGCCCUUUUUCAGCAGGGUCUAGACAUUGCCAUUGAUGAAGAGAAACCAGAUGAUGUACAGGAGAAAGAUUGGAAGGCGAUCAAUUGGUUGGCAUGUGGCACAAUUUGAUCAUGCCUUUCUCGAGAGCAGAGGUAUGCUUUUUCAAAGGAGACUUCUGCAAAUAAGUUGUGGGUGGCACUUGAAGAAAAUUUUUUGAAGAAAAACAGUCAAAAUAAGCUCCACUUGAAGAAAAGACUGUUUCGCUUCACAUACGUCCCAAGUACCACAAUGAAUGAUCACAUCACCAAAUUUAAUCAGUUAGUCACUGAUUUGCUGAAUAUGGAUGAGACAUUCAAAGAUGAAGAUUUGGCUUUGAUGCUGUUGGGGUCACUUCCUGAGGAGUUUGAGUUCCUAGAAACUACUCUACUUCAUGGCAGGAGUGAUAUAUCUCUGAGCGAAGUCUGUGCGGCCUUAUACAGUUAUGAACAGAGAAAGAAGGACAAACAGAAAAACUCAAUCAGAGAUACAGAAGCUUUAGUAGUCCGAGGUCGUUCAUACACUCGGAAGAAAACUCAAAAGGGGAGAUCAAAGUCAAAGUCCAGACUCGGGAAAGAUGAAUGUGCUUUUUGUCAUAAGAAAGGCCACUGGAAGAAAAAUUGUCCAAAGCUGAAGAAUAAGGGAAAAGCUGCUGUAGAUGCUUGUGUUGCUAAGCAUGAUACUAGUGACUCUGAACUAUCACUGGUUGCAUCAUCAUCGUCGUUCCAUUCAGAUGAGUGGAUAUUGGAUUCGGGUUGUACCUAUCAUAUUCCCUUAAUCGGGAGUGGUUCUCUGAUUUAGUAGAACUAAAUGGAUGAGUUGUUUAUAUGGGCAAUGACAAUGCCUGUAAAACUGUUGGGAUAGGUUCAAUCCAAUUAAAGAAUAAAGAUGGAUCAACCAGAGUUCUGACUGAUGUUCGGUACGUGCCCAGUUUGAAGAAAAAUCUCAUCUCAUUGAGAGCCUUGGAAUCCAAUGGUUCAGUUGUUACUAUGAGAGAUAGGAUUUUGAAAGUGACAUCUGGCGCACUUGUGAUAUUGAAGGGCAUCAGGAAAAAUAACUUGUAUUACUACCAAGGUAGUACAGUUAUUGGAGCAGUCGCUGCAGCUUCCGGCAACAAAGAAUUGGACUCAAUACAGUUGUGGCAUAUGAAGUUGGGACAUGCCAGCGAAAAAUCCUUACAAAUUCUGGCAAAGCAAGGAUUGUUGAAAGGUGCAAAGGCUUGCAAAUUAAAAUUUUGCGAGCAUUGUGUUCUGGGAAAGCAAAAGAGAGUGAAAUUCGAUACUGCUAUCCAUAAUACAAAAGGUAUUUUGGAAUAUGUUCACUCAGAUGUGUGGGGGCCUUCUAAGACACCUUCAUUGGGAGGAAAACACUACUUUGUUACUUUUGUUGAUGACUUUUCCAGAAGAGUUUGGGUGUAUACCAUGAGAACUAAGGAUGAAGUGCUUAGAGUUUUUUCUUAAAUGGAAAACUAUGAUCGAAAACCAGACUGGCAAGAAAAUCAAGCGGCUUAGGACGGACAAUGGAGGGGAAUAUAAAAGUGAUCCGUUCUUCGAUGUGUGCCAAGAGUAUGGUAUUGUUCGACACUUCACAAUUAGGGAUACACCACAACAGAAUGGAUUGGCAGAGCGUAUGAAUCGAACAUUGUUGGAGAAACUUCGAUGUAUGUUGUCCAAUACUGGGUUGGGCAAGCAAUUUUGGGCUGAGGCUGUGACAUACGCUGGCCAUCUUGUUAAUCGUUUGCCAUCAUCUGCAUUAGAAAGAAAAACUCCUAUGGAGGUAUGGUCUGGAAAACCGGCUACAGAUUAUGAUUCCUUACAUGUGUUUGGAACCACUGCAUAUUACCAUGUGAAGGAGUCAAAGUUAGAUCCGAGGGCAAAGAAAGCUCUCUUUAUGGGAAUCACUUCUGGAGUGAAGGGAUUUCGUCUUUGGUGCUUAAGCACAAAGAAAAUGAUCUGUAGCAGAGAUGUUACCUUUGAUGAAUCUGCCACAUUGAAAAAGGUAGCAGAUAAAGAUAUUCAGACGAGCAAUACUCCACAGCAGGUGGAGUGUACUCCAAAACAGGUGGAGUUUGAGCAGAUGGGGAUUUGCCCAGUUAAUAAGUCUAAUUCUCCAGCCACAAUGGAGGAAUUAGAGGUUGAAGAGGUUCUGACCCAAGAACCACUAAGUACACCAGAACCAGUUGCAGUUGCAAGGCCACGGAGAGAAAUUCGUAAACCUGCUCGAUUUACUGAUAUGGUGGCCUACGCCCUUCCCGUUGUUGAUGAUAUUCCUAUCACUUAUCAAGAAGCAAUGCAAAGCUUAGAAAGUGAUAAAUGGAAAAGCGCCAUGGAUGAAGAAAUGCAGUCUCUCCGGAAGAACAAUACUUGGGAGUUGGCGCAAUUACCGAAAGGUAAAAGGGCAAUCGGAUGCAAGUGAGUAUUCGCAAAGAAAGAUGGAUCUCCUAGCAAGAAGGAUAUUCGCUACAAGGCAAUAUUGGUAGCUAAAGGCUACGCUCAGAAGGAGGGAAUUGACUACAAUUAUGUAUUUUCCCCUGUUGUGAAGCAUUCCUCCAUUAGAAUUUUGUUGGCCUUGGUAGCACAGUUGAAUUUGGAGCUAGCUCAACUUGAUGUUAAGACGACUUUCUUGCAUGGUAAGUUAGAAGAGGAGAUCUAUAUGACUCAGCCCGAAGGAUACACAGAUGCUGGUGGUAGAAAUUGGGUUUGUAAGCUUAACAAAUCGCUAUAUGGAUUGAAGCAAUCCCCGAGGCAGUGGUACAAGCGAUUUGAUAGCUUUAUGAGAAGGCAGAAGUACACAAGAAGCAAAUAUGACAAUUGUGUAUAUUUGCAGAAGCUGCAUGACGGAUCUUUCAUUUAUCUACUCUUGUAUGUUGAUGAUAUGUUAAUCGCUUCAAAGAGCCAAAAUGAGAUAGAUAAGUUGAAGGCUCAGUUGAAUCAAGAGUUCGAGAUGAAAGAUCUAGGUGAGGCCAAGAAGAUUCUCGGCAUGGAGAUAAGUAGAGAUAGACCAAGAGGCAAGCUCUGUUUAAAUCAGAAGCAAUAUCUGAAAAAGGUAUUACAAUAUUUUGGUGUAAAUGAAAACACAAAACAUGUAAGUACCCCACUUUCUUCUCAUUUGAAACUUAGUGCUCAAUUAUCUCCGAAGACUGAAGAUGAAAGAGAAUAUAUGGCGAAAGUCCCAUAUGCUAAUGCAGUUGGGAGUUUGAUGUAUGCGAUGGUGUGUACGAGGCCUGACAUUUCACAAGCUGUUGGAGUUGUGAGCAGGUAUAUGCAUGAUCCUGGAAAAGGACAUUGGCAAGCUGUGAAAUGGAUUCUACGGUAUCUUCGAAAAACCGUAGAUGUUGGUUUAAUUUUUGAACAGGAUGAAGCACUUGGUCAGUUUGUAGUUGGAUAUGUUGAUUCCGACUUUGCUGGUGAUUUAGAUAAACGUCGUUCAACUAUGGGGUAUCUGUUUACUCUUGCGAAAGCCCCAGUGAGUUGGAAGUCUACCUUACAGUCUAUAGUAGCUGUGUCUACUACAGAGGCAGAAUAUAUGGCAGUUACAGAAGCUGUUAAGGAGGCUAUUUGGCUUAAUGGAUUGUUGAAAGACUUAGGAGUUGUUCAAAGUCACAUAAGUUUAUAUUGUGACAGUCAGAGCACUAUUCAUUUAGCGAAAAAUCAAGUCUAUCAUUCAAGAACCAAGCAUAUCGACGUAAGAUAUCACUUUGUGCGGGAAGUCUUUGAAAAAGGAAAAAUUCUACUUCAGAAGAUUCCGACAGCAGAUAAUCCCGCAGAUAUGAUGACCAAGGUGGUAACAACAAUCAAGUUUAAUCAUUGUUUGAACUUGAUUAACAUCCUGAGAAUUUGAGCACCUACAGGUGUAUGGCGCUCGAGAGCGCAUUUAGAGGCACUACAAAAGAUAACUUUAUCGAAUUUGGGGAGUUGAAGGAAGUGUGUGAAGAUGUGAUUAUCCUAAUCAAAUCUUCAAGGUGGAGAUUGUUGAAAGGUCAACAAAGGUAGGAAGCAACUUGUUAAAAAGGUUGAGCAAGUUGCACCGAAUGUUGAAAAGUUGAAUGGGAUAAUUGCAAUUUUGGUCCUUAAUUUUUUAGGCCAUUUGCAAGUUAGUCCCUGAAGUUCAACUAUAAAUAGGCCUUUUCAUUUUUCAUUUCAACCAUCCCAACCAAUCUUUCUCUCUUAGUUUUCUCUCUUCUCCCAUUUGAGAAUUCUUAAGGAAUUCUAUUUGUUUGUAAUACUUUGGAGAUAGUAAAGUUAUCAUCUGGUGUUAGUGCCCGAGGACGUAGGUAUAAUUUACCGAACCUCGUUAAAACUCUUAUGUUCUUUUUGUCCUAUUUUUCUUUCAAUAUUUGAGGGUAUAAUAGUAGUAUUUAAUUGUGCUAUUAAAUUACUAUAGAAGGGAUAUUCUGACUAAGGAAAGACUUGGUAUUUAAGAGAUCCAUGUGAUCCACCUCUCUUCCCUGGGAAUUGAACUUUGUGUGAUUUUUAGUACAAUAAUUUACACGCUUCCGACCCUAUUGGAACAACAGAAAGGUUCAUGACAACACAUGUUGAUUUUGAUGUUAAAGGUAAAAAUUUCGAGUACAUGCCGUUUAGUUUCGGUAGAAGGUCGUGUCCUGGAAUGACGUUUGGGUUGCAAGUUGUGCACUUGACGGUGUCGAAAUUAAUUCAGGGAUUUGAUAUUAGGGUGGCGGAGGGGACCGCGGUGGAUAUGGAAGAAGGCUUGGGAUUUGCCUUACCUAAGUUGAAUCCUCUUGAAGUUGUAUUAUCGCCACGCCUUGGAACUGAGUUUUACGAAUGCCUUUAAGAUGGUGAAAAAUAUAUACUAGAAAUUUAGCGUUUUAUAUUUUGAUUAAAUAAUUAUUGGAUGUGAUAAUGGCAUGGUGAUACAGCUUUUAGUUGAGCAUUAAAUAAGUUUACUGAAUGCACUUGGGAAUAAAUGUAAGCACAUUAUUAAAUUUUAAAGUCGAUAUUAGUAAAAAGAUUUUAUUUGAAUAUCAUGUUUAAUUGGAAUAAAAUUAGACCCGAAAUCUAUAACAAAUUACAACACUUAUGCUUAUAGCCGAGAUAUUCUCAUGAACUACCUGGUUGAAGAAAAGUGUGUUUGACAUUGCCAGGUAAAAUUAUUGUAAGGGAUUGAAAUGUUAAAAAAAAUGUUUAAAAUAAUAAAAG